RNAcentral lists this unclassified non-coding RNA (400 nucleotides) under uncultured bacterium. RNAcentral describes it as "contains 16S-23S intergenic spacer region". The record is from RNAcentral.
UCCAAAUACCUAGUUUAUUUAGCAGUUUUUCUAUAUUUUAAACAAAUAGAGUUUAAAAGAACUAGAAAUAAGGGUUACGCUCGUUAAAGGAGCCAACCAAACAUCUCAAAACACGAGCUAACGACAGCCAUGCAGCACCUGCUCAUUAAUCAACAAAUGUUAUAAAUAUAUUCCAUUUGAUUAGCUAUAAAAUAAAGCUUUAAUUAAUGAUUCCAAGACUGGUAAGGUUUUGCGUGUUAUGUCGCAUUAAACCAGAUGCCUCACCGCUUGUUCAGACCUCCGUCAAUUCCUUAGAGUUUCAACCUUGCGACUUUACUACCCAGGCGGAAUAUUUACGCGUUAGCUCAAACAUCGAAUUUAUCAAUCCAACAUUUAAUAUUCAUCGGUCAGGGCACGGACU